UUAUAUUUAAAAUUUUGACAUCAUUUUAAAAUUUUGAAGUAAAGUUUUAGUAUUUAAUUUUCAGUUUGAAUUUAAACUAACAUAUUAUAAAGAUAAAAUCGACAUAUUAAUUUGAUUAUGUUUCUGAUAUCUAUCUAAACCAAACACCAAUAAUAAAAAUUGUUCAUUCCAAUUCCGAUUCAAGUGACGAACCAAACAGAAUGAAGUAAUAAAUCAUUCCGAUUCUGUUUCCAGCUUAUUCUUAUUCCGAUUCUUUUACCGAUUCUGACUUAAUUCGAACCAAACACAUCUAUAACUAUUUUUAUUUUUAAUUUUUUUUAAGAAAAUUGUAUAUGCGCAUACCCGUGGGUACCUGUGAGUUGAUCAAAAUACCCAUAAUUUAAUGGAUACCUAUCCAUUUUAUCCAUAAUUUUUUUAAU
This 419-nucleotide long non-coding RNA is filed under the name Ananas comosus (pineapple). RNAcentral describes it as "long non-coding RNA (ACOM_LNC017368)". Lineage: Eukaryota; Viridiplantae; Streptophyta; Magnoliopsida; Poales; Bromeliaceae. The record is from RNAcentral.